This 465-nucleotide ribosomal RNA is filed under the name uncultured bacterium. RNAcentral describes it as "partial 16S ribosomal RNA". It matches the Rfam family "Bacterial small subunit ribosomal RNA", at positions 338 to 795 of the family's 1533-position model. The record is from RNAcentral.
CCUACGGGUGGCAGCAGUGGGGAAUAUUGCGCAAUGGGCGAAAGCCUGACGCAGCGACGCCGCGUGAGGGAUGAAGGUCUUCGGAUCGUAAACCUCUGUCAGCAGGGAAGAACGGUCACUGUGCUAAUCAGCAGUGAAUUGACGGUACCUGCAAAGGAAGCACCGGCUAACUCCGUGCCAGCAGCCGCGGUAAUACGGAGGGUGCGAGCGUUAAUCGGAAUUACUGGGCGUAAAGCGCUCGUAGGCGGUAUGUCAAGUCAAGGGUGAAAUCCCCGCGCUCAACGUGGGAACUGCCUUUGAAACUGGCAAACUGGAGUGUGUGAGAGGAUAGUGGAAUUCCAGGUGUAGGAGUGAAAUGCGUAGAGAUCUGGAGGAACAUCAGUGGCGAAGGCGACUAUCUGGCACAUAACUGACGCUGAGGAGCGAAAGCGUGGGUAGCAAACAGGAUUAGAUACCCGGGUAGUC